Long non-coding RNA from Aedes albopictus (Asian tiger mosquito), 923 nucleotides. RefSeq lists it as uncharacterized. The transcript is spliced from 2 exons. Lineage: Eukaryota; Metazoa; Arthropoda; Insecta; Diptera; Culicidae. The record is from RefSeq and is a predicted model, not a curated record.
AUAUUAUAGAACAAGAUGGCCAACUCUUCAAAAUCCCAUAUUAGCACCUGGCGAACAGAAUCAUUCAACUGGAACGCCAGCUGGUGAUGAAAAAUCGAAUUUGUUUAUUGGAAAUGAUCGCAGUAGCUCUGGUUUUGGUCUGCCGCAAAAAUGUCACACGUCUGCGUAAAAGUUUAUGGGUGAGAAUUGUGAUGACUGAUUUCAUUGAGUUGAGAAGCAGGAUAUCGGCGAACAGGAACCAAAUAUCGAAAUACUAUAUAUUACUUCCGCUUCCUAAUCACGGAACAACUUCUUAUGUGAGGCCGGGUACCGUUAAAACAAAAAAAAAUGAAUCCCUCGCGUGAGACCGUGGACUAAUCCGGGGGCUAUCAUCAGAACUUCUGGAGAAGGCGUAGUUACUGAUCUAGAUCCUGGAGUAUUUUUCUUGGUGGAUUAUUGGAGACCAAGGAGUGGACACCCUGAUUCUUGAUUCCCCACCUCACAGAAAUUUGUUUCAUUGAUUUUGAACAGUUGCAUAUAAGAAUUUAUACCUACACAUUAAUAAAUGAAUUGUUUCAUUUAAAAUUUCAUUAUUAUUAAUCGUAAAUUUCAUUAUCAAAAUAAAUCACCUAUAUUAAAAGAAUAUAUUUCUUCUAAGGAUAUCUUAGCGUGUUACUCAGCGGACCGAGCUCUGUUCCGUAGCUGGAGGAAUCUUUUAUGCUAACCAGAGAUUCUUGUCUUGAUGUUAUUGAAGUAUGUUGAUGUAUAGGAGCAGUCCCGCGACCAUGAUCUUGUGCAACGAUAAGCCCUUCAAACCUUGCCUCAGAUGGUGUGCACAGAUGGUGCUUACAAUCUAAAAAUGUUAUUUUUUUCAGUUCAUUUAAAUAUAUGGGUUGCACUGCUAUGAAAUAACCACAAAGUAACGAAACAAUGCUGGUUUUUAA